This 1909-nucleotide long non-coding RNA is filed under the name Heterocephalus glaber (naked mole-rat). Its description in RNAcentral is "lncRNA (ENSHGLG00100044553.1)". The record is from RNAcentral. Lineage: Eukaryota; Metazoa; Chordata; Mammalia; Rodentia; Bathyergidae.
GAGCUCCACAGGUGGUGAGACACCCACUAAGAACGCAAAUCGCUGCUAUUAUCUAGCCUGUUCUGCCACCUAGUGGAAUUUGGGGGAGUAGCAUCUGGUAAUGAGUUGGAGCAAGAUUCUGUUGCUGCUGAAUACCAAGGACUUUCUUGCAAUUAAGGUUACAGCCCCUUCAGAAUGUGUUCUAGUACUACACCCACCUGGUUUAUUUCCAGUUAUCGUAGGGCAUGUCACAUCCAGACAUCACCAAGCAGUCUGAGUAAAACCAGUUCUUGCUGUUUUAGAAAUGCCUUUAAUUUUAUGUUGGAAUUAUACAUUGGAAUAAUACACUAUUAAAUAAUGCUAGUGAAGGAUAACCACAUAGGGAAAUCCAAAAACAUAAGUGGAAAAGUAUUACAAAUAGCAUACAGAUGAUUCAGAUUAAAUGGUAUAAAACAUGCAUAAAAACAAAACGAAGUACCUCAUUAAGGUCAUAGUUGCUAUCUCUCAAGAAUGAGACAGUUAAAGAUUUUUCUAUAUGGUCUUUUUUUUUUUAAGUUUCCUAUAGUGAGAAUGAGUUAUUUUAAAGAAUAAAAAUUAUUUUAGUAUCAAAUCCUUCUCUCAAGAAAUACUUAUUAGGUCCCUACUCUACCCAGGUAUUAUGCUAGGGCCUAAAGAUUUGAAGAUGAAAUUGUGUGUGAUCUUUGCCUCAGGAGCUCCUGGUUUCCAGGGUGGAACACACACGCACAAGACCCAGGGAGUAAAAUCAAGGCGGCACAAGGAAGAGAGCAAUCCUGCUCAGCUGUGAUAACCAACGCUUCACCUCCACGAGGCUCCUAAGCCCUUGAGACAACCUGGGUCCGUGAUUCUCAUCACUGUCAGCCCAGCUGUGAAACCCCUCCUAAGACCUAAAGAGUGGAACCUCCAAAGCCUGGGGAUCUGCAACUUCAUAUCCCUUUCAUCACCUGGGAGAAGAACCCUCCUUCCUCUGAUAACAAGACUGAGCGAUAAGAGAGGUGAGUGACUUGUUAAUGUUAUGCAGCAAGGACAAGAAUCAAAUGCAAGCCUCAUUCCAGAGAAGAUGAGUAAACAACCUAGAGAGAUUGGGAAAUUUGCCUGAACUCACACAACCAAGACAUGAAGAAACAGGUCCCUCUGACUCCAGAGUUCACUCCUUUCCCCCUUACACCACAUCCCUUCUCCUGCACCAAUCACUUUGAAUGGCAAAUGCUGCUUGUCACUGUCUUUCACUCUGCAAGCCCUAAAAGGCAAGUGGUGCCACCUAUUUCAUGACUGCCACCCCAGGGCCCAGUAUGGGUCCUGCGCCCAAGGGUUCAUUCAACACCAAAAGUGUUGGAAGAGUGAGCUAUUCCAUGUGCAGAGACAGAGCCUGGAAAGCACGAGUGACAUGUUUGUCCUCGCCCUGUUCGUGGGAUAGACUUGUUAUGUCCCCUGGAGAGGUGAUAGGGGGCAGGUUGUGCCUCCUUGAGGACUUGCAGAUGUUUCCUGAGGCCCUGAGAGUAUUUCUGCUUCUUAGCUGCCUUGGCUGCCUGUCUGUGGGCGCUGCCGGGAAAGCCAGCUUCAUAGCUCUGCUGGUGUGAAUGUCAACAGCCAAUUGUAGCCAGCUCUCUGGAAAUUUCACUGACAUAUCAAGACCACUAGGGGCCCAGGAAGUUGAGUCCCCAUCACCAGCUAGUUGGAUUCCUGCAGGAUCUUUGUGGUACACACAGUGAUACAGCGUAGUUGACCCCUUGAGCUUGGCUGUCAGCUCUUGCUUUGAAAAUCAUCUCUCCCCCUUACUAAAUUUGUGGCUAUAGGGCAAGUUUCUCAACCUUUCUUAACCUCAAUUACUUAAUAUUUAACAGAGUAAUUGCCUCCUUUUCAAGGUCACAGAUAGAAGGAGAUAAUGUAGUUAAAGCCCUAACCAUCUGUG